UCGGGUCCAUGCUCUGCCUCCUCUACAGCCGCGUCGGGGCCGCGUCGGGGCUCCUCCUCUACGGCCGCGGCGGGACUCAGGUCCGGGCUCUUCUGAACCGACCGAUACAUGGUCGACGCUAAGGUCAGACAGGUUCAACCCACUCUCCAUCAGCGCUGUCUGGUACACCAGCCUCUUUCUGCACGCACAUACACAUCAUGUUCUGAUGUUCAGCAGAAAAAAUAUACAUGAAUAAAUUAUUUUUACUAUGUUGCAAAUAUAGAAGCUAGAUUAAUAACUGGCGAUGCUGCAAUAAAUUAUUCAUAGUUCCAUUUACAAACAAAGGAUUCUUUUGUAUGGCAACUACUAAAGAGAUGAAACUACAAACUAGAUUUUAUAAACUAGAUGACCAGAUUAUUAUAAUCUCAUAAUCUCCUCUACCCCAGUUAAAAUGAGAUUAUGGAUUACAAAUGACGUGUUAUCCUUGUAAACUUCAAGAGAAUUACGCAGUGUCACCGCCACUUUCCUAUUUUUCCUUAUAAACUGAGGGCAAACAUGUCAUUGUACAAUUUAAAAGCUGGUUUACAAUUUAUAUAAUCUGGCCUCCAAACAUGCCCACCUGGAUUAUUUUUAUAAACCAGAUUAUAUAAUCUAUGUUCAUAAUCCAGAUUAUUAUAAUCUAUUAUGGUUCCAAACAGGGCCUAAAGAGAUGAAACUACAGACAUGUUGUAUGCUCAAAAGAACAUGAGCAGAAACCAUGUUAAAGUAUGGGUUCCCUUUAUACCAGCAGUCUAGAACCAUCUGCUUCCUCCGGCCUGCCUUCCAACAUGUCACGUUGUCGUCCACGUAGGUUGGUCCAAAAAGACUGAAUAUAGAUUCUGGUAAUAAGUUUGCAAUGCACCAGUUUUUUUGCUUCAAGGUACCUAAGGUAUGAAUUCUGAUAUGCAGGGGUGGGCAGAUAUCCUCUUUAAAAAUAAAAAAAAUCGGGCCGACUCCAAAUGUCAAACUGAUAGUUGCGCUUAAGAUUUAGGGAGUGGUUACCGAGAUUGGUGAUAAUUUUCUGUUCACACUCCAGCCUGAGGCAAGUCCAAUGAAGGCUCAAUGCUUCAAGCCCGUUCAAAUGCCUUGUAUGAUCAAUUACUUAUCACCUGAUUGUCUAUAAACUUAAAGAUCAAACUAUUAGUUACCUUCCAGUUAUUAAAAAAAAACAAGCAGAAAACCAACUUAACUUGAAAGAGAGACAUAUCCAUAUGCAGUGCCAUGAUAACACAGUGUAACCAACAAAUAUUUAUUAACUUAGACAUUGUUAAAUAUUUUCUGUUCACAUGAAGCAUUUGUUGCCAAAUUAUGCAGCUACAAUAGUUGAAAAGGAACUAAAACACGACUAUCAAUUGCUCCAACUUAGAAAUUAGAGGUACACGGUACUAUAUUGUCCGUUAGCAUUAUGUUCAACAUAUAACAAAUUAGGAAAAGGAGGAAUAGUGUGUAUUACACAGGAAAAGGAGGAAUAGUGUGGAAAAGGAGGAAUAGUUGGAGAUUAAAAAUCAUAAUUUAUCAUGCUUUAAAGUUUGAUUCAGAAAUUUGCUGAGAAUGAAAAGUAGCAACAGAAAGAACUCAGCUUUUCCCAGCAACCAUGGACAAGAACCUAAACCAACAGAAAAAUUCUUUGCUGGUAAUUAAUUACUAAGUCCGAGGAAAUCCAAGCUGGCAGUGCAAUGGUACAAGGUGCGUAAAUGUACAAACGAGAAAUGAGGGACGCCAAGUACUAGUUCGGCUGCAAUAUAGGGAUACUAUACACAACAGAGAAUGAACAUUUCCUGUAAUGAUAGUGUUGCCAGCAGGAUUGAUUUUAAGGGAAGUAAUAUACUGUGAAUGAGACGUGUUAGUGUUCUUCUCAGUGUUCACUUCUACAAAUUUCAGUAAGAAACUUAAAUUAAACCAACAGAAAAAUUCUUUGCUGGUAAUUUAGUUACGAAGUCCGAGGAAAUCCAAGCUGGCAGUGCAAUGGUACAAGGUGCGUAAAUGUACAAACGAGAGAUGAGGGACGCCAAGUAUUAGUUCGGCUGCAAUAUAGGGAUACUAUACACAACAGAGAAUGAACAUUUCCUGUAAUGAUAGUGUUGCCAGCGGGAUUGAUUUUAAGGGAAGUAAUAUACUGUGAAUGAGACAUGUUAGUGUUCUUCUCAGUGUUCACUUCUACAAAUUUCAGUAAGAAACUUAAAUUAAAUUAUAUAUACCGAACAGUGCAUGCCAAAAGCUAACGAACUUAAUGGACCAACAAAUGCGAGUAGGAGAGACAUGUUUCAGAAUUAAUGACGGCUGCCUUGCAGCUCCUAGAAACAAUAUAAACUGGUAUAUGUAGUACCAAAUAUUGAUAGUAAUGUCCACAACAAUUAUUCCAACAUAUGGGAAGGAUAUUUCCUUGUCUCCCAUUAUGAUCAACUCCAAACAGACUCUAAUAUCUAUAUUGAUUUAAACCGGUCAUUGAAGCACUCAACCCGCAAUUGCACAUAGCUGCUGACUUCAACUAAUUAUUCAAGGUGAUGCUAAUAGUAAGAGAUGUGUGAAUAUCAAAAUUAUAACUUUUUUUUGUAUUCACAUAACACAUUUGCUGAUUUAGAUUCAAAAAUUCUGGAAAUCACAAUAUCAUAAACACUAAAUCCCACAUUUAACAAGUCUAUUGACAGUGUUAUAACUUGAGGUCUACAAACUGAUGCAACAUUAACUCCGAGUGAAAAUAUAUAUUUAAAAAUAUUUUAGAACCAAAUUCCUAAAUAAAUUGUUAUUGAACAGAAGUGUUACAUAGCUUUGAUGAACUAAAUAAAUACAUUGUCAUGGUGUCAAUUUCUAAUGGAAGUCCAUAUACAACUCAUCCUUGCGGUGAUUUUUGGAAAAGAAAAUCAUAAUAUAUGUCGAAAGUUAUACUGCUGGUGAAAUUAAAUUGGGAUUUACAACAUGAAAAAAUGCAUCUAACUUUAAAACCAGUAGUGCGACAUCUCUCAACAGCAACUUAGGAGCCUAUGUCUUAGAACAAUUUAAUCCGGCUAGGAGGCCAAAUUAAUGACACUGGAUUCAGCAGAAACAUGCAUGGAUACUGUGAACUUUUAUGUACCCGUUUGACGCUGGAUUCAACAUGGUCAUGCAACGAUAUGGGGAAGAGUUGCUGAGGCAGAGACGAUGAUGCCCGGUGUACUCUCCGGGGCCGGAGUUACCUGCCGAGGCAGAGAUGACGAUGCCCUUCUUCACUGCACCGAAGGCGCCGAUGGCGAUGGAGUCCUCGUAGAAGGCAGGGGCGUAACCACCGGAGACGACGGAGAGGGAGAUGACGUUGACGCCGUGACUAUGAAUGUGCUAGGAACCACCUAUGGGAUUCCUUGCAUGCUCGUAUCAAGGCCCGGGUAUCUAACUAUGUCUGCUAAAGCGCACGGGUAUUUAACUAUGUCUGUAGAUGCAGUUUUUUUGUUUCAGACGUAGGGCUGUUAGUUUGUCAGUCAAAGUUCAGUUUGAUCGAAGGAAUUAGACAAGUUCAUUUAUCUGCAAUACACACAAAAACUUGACUGUGAGUAGGAGGCUAGAACCUUCUGAUGCAAUGCUGGUACAAUGGCACCCCGUCGAACACGCCAGACCUCCCCAUCAGCCAGGAUCAGACCUGUGCCCAUCACAAACUCUGGUAUUUCGGCAAGGAUACCCUGCACCCACCAUGAUCAAACCAGGACUGAAUAAAACAUCAUGCUACUCGUUUCUGAUGCCUUUUGAAUCAUUUCUUUACUGUUUGAAAAUGAGUAGAACCGAAUUCAGAACCAACCUUGGAAUAAGCCUUGGAGUUGUCCCUCAGGAUAUGCUUAGCUACAUCCGGAUCAGAGACGAUGAGGAAAGACUGGAGAAAGAAGAUGAUGAUGAAAAAAAAUGUACAGACCAUUAGCAACAUGACAGGGUUCAGAAGACUGCAGUUUUGGGGGCAAUUCGCUAGCUUGAUGGUGCGGUCACCUUGGGCCCGAAGUUGAGGCGGAAGACGCCGCCGUAGGUGAGGAAGAGGUCGUAGAACGGCAGGAAGAAGGCCUCCCCGGUGACGGAAGCCAGCGACCCGACCAACUGCGGCAGCUCCGGGCCCCUGCGCGCCGCCCGCUACCUUGGCGAGCAUCCCGGCCGCGAGCUCCCCGGGCGGGCCCAGCUUGACCAGCCUCGCCGCGACGGGCGCGAGCCAUCUGAACGGAACAAUUCAAGCACGGCGCCUAAUCCAAUCAGCGCCGGAGCUGCAGGAGGAGCAAGAAAUGCGUGGAGAGGAGGAUAAGGGAUUGGCCGGGGAACUGACUGACUGACCCGGGGCCCUGGGCGGUGAACUCGUCGGAGGAAAUGCGGGCGGUGAGCUCGGCCCGGCGCUUCCUCUGCUCCUCAAGAACCUUGUCGGUCCUGCCGCCGCCGUCACCGCCGGACGCGGAGCAGUGGAGGAGCGGGCUAUUACGCUGGUUGGCAACGGGGGCGAGGCGGAGCCGGCCCUGGCCGAGCCGGAGCCAAGGUAGCGGGACGGCGGGGCGGAGGAUGCGUUGCCACACCAUUCGUCUCUCUAUGUGAGAGUGGAUGGGGAAUGGUGGAGGUGCGGAAUGGGCACGGAGAUUCGAGAAAACUACAGAGUGAGAGUGGAUCUUAGUCCACACCACUCCACACCACCGCUGAACUUCAGUCCAAAUGCAGCUAGCUAAGCAACGAAAAUUGAUUUCUGAGCAACGGAGCACUUUAUUUUGAAGUUCAAAAAACCACAUCUUUACAUUUUAAAAAAAAAGUGUGCAUGAACAUAUAGCAAUGCAGUAUAUCGGGCCAAAUUUUCGGCAAUAUACAUGCUUGCAUGUAAAAGAUACAAAAGAACAAAAUACAUGAAAAUUAGGGGUUUGUUUUUUGUGUUGUGGGGCAGAAAUUUUGUUUCUUUUGUGCAGCACAUAAUACAAUGUAUUAUUGAACAAAAUUUCACAUGUACUUAGGCCACAUGCAUGCGUAUUUAUAUAAAAAAUAUUUUUUCCAGAUGUUUCAAGCAUCUUUUUGGAGCAGUUCAAAAUAAAGUGCACCGUUGCCUCAUGUUCGAAAUAUGCAAUGAUUGCAAAGUUUAUAUAUACUAUGCAUGUAUAUUGUACUUUUGUUGAUUAGUAUGUUUUCUUUUUCCGUAUUGUCAAUGUGUUGCUUCCAAAUUUAUAUGUGACACAUUUGUUUAAAUUGUAUAAGAUGGUGCCAAUUAAUCUUAGAUGUCAACGGACAUUUGCAAACUUCACAAAAAAACCAGUGCAACCUACGUAAGUUUAAUAUGUUUUCUCAUAUUUAAAAGAAAAUGAAAAAAAUGUUAUCUAAUCUAAUGUAUUUGUUACAGAUUCAUAGACUUUGAUGACCUCACCUUUUCGGAUACAUUCAGAACAUGUAGCAUUUGCGUGAGGGUAGAUGUCAAAUAUCCUGUUAAUCCGAGUGGUGAUAGACUUCACUUCAUUCUGAUGGAUAGAACUAUAAGUCUCAAGCAUGUUUAGAUUGGUAGAAUAAACAUGUGUUUGUCAUCAUCUAACAUUUUCUGAUGCAAUUCUAAGGGUGUCAAAAUCGAGGUUAUAGUUGCCGGAAAAUUAGUGCAUAGAUUCGAUUUAAAAUUGCACAUGGGUCGUAAGUACACCAUUCAUGGUGUUACUAUUCGGCCUAACUUUAAAGAACUGGCGUGUAGAUUCAUUAACCACACAUAUGAGUGCUCCUUCAGUGUGAGGACAUUUGUUGAGUCACUCUCACUAUAAUUUCCAACAUAUCCAAAGCAUUUGAUGUCCAUCCAUGAAGUUAUGAGGUGUCCAAACAAAACAUUCGUAGGUAUGCAUUCAAACAUAUAUAAUACUAACACAGAGAUAACCUUUGUAUAUCAAUUUGACUAAUGAUAUUUAAUAGAGACAUAGUUGGCAUAGUUGUUCAAUAUGAUGAUUAUCAACUCAUCGGGAGACACCCAUCUACUGAAUUGUACAGAGAGGUCACCUUCAUGGAUAUUUGAUAUGUGUAGUUAAUAUACAUAAUUGCAACUCUUUUGUACCGAAUUAUAAGAAUUAAUUCGUGAAUUCCUUGUAUAGAUACUAUUUUCAAAUAUUCAAAAUUGUAGGGGCAAACUUAUAGUUGUUGGCAUUUCGGGUGGCAACUUGAUUCAAAACUCAUAUAGGUGGUCAACAACUGAAGGAAAUAAAUCUAUUGUCCUUGCAACUAUGCUCCGUAAGAAUAGAAAAUAUGGUAAUGGAUGCAUGUACAUCUUUAUGUAUUGCAUAUUUUGAGAAAGUGUAUUGUUAUGUCGAGCUAAAUAUUUUGACAAAGUGCACUGUUAUGUCGAGCUAAAUAGUUUUUUAAUCUUGACAAUAGGAAAUUUGGAAACUUCAAGUUACACCAUCCUUGCAUUUAACCCGGGUCAUCCUUCAACACGUGCACUUCAUGGUAGUUCUGACAUAUAAUCAAAUACAAGUCAAUUACUUGUGAUUAUUAUUGAUAUGUGCAUGCAAAUUUUAAAUACUAAUAAUUGCAACAUUUCUAAUAAUUGUUUUGCAGAUAUUCGCCAGAAAAUAAUAGGUGGUUGAUUGACAUGGAGUUUGUUCGAGAAUUUAUUGAGAGGAGGUGGGAUUUGCUAGCAAGCAGUCCGUCUACAAAUGAUCCCGACGCAAGAUGUAUACAAAGAAAACUCGACCCAUGUAGUAG
RNAcentral lists this long non-coding RNA (6669 nucleotides) under Hordeum vulgare. Its description in RNAcentral is "long non-coding RNA (HVUL_LNC008601)". Lineage: Eukaryota; Viridiplantae; Streptophyta; Magnoliopsida; Poales; Poaceae. The record is from RNAcentral.